RNAcentral lists this unclassified non-coding RNA (225 nucleotides) under uncultured Chytridiomycota. RNAcentral describes it as "sequence contains ITS1". Lineage: Eukaryota; Fungi; Chytridiomycota. The record is from RNAcentral.
ACAAUUAUUAUUGAGCUCUUCCCCUCCUUCACCGGGGGCGGUAGGUUCUCUAACACUUGUGUGCACUGUUUAUUGUCUCUCGGCGUUUGGAAGGGUUGGGUAUUCAGAGUUUCUGGGUGCCCUUUGGGGCUUUCACGGCCUUUUGACCUACCCCCUGAGCGCCAAUUUUUAAACUUGAUUUUAUAUAUACUAUAAGCCUUUAAUUUUAAAUUUAUAAUUUGAAAA